RNAcentral lists this non-coding RNA (151 nucleotides) under Fragilariopsis kerguelensis. Lineage: Eukaryota; Bacillariophyta; Bacillariophyceae; Bacillariales; Bacillariaceae. The record is from RNAcentral.
CGGUCCACAUCCCAACUCACAUAUUGUGAACUUAUUCCUAUUCAUACUCCCAGGAUUGCAGUUUUCGUUUUUUCUGAUUGAAGGGAAUAGAUCACCGGCAAGGAAACGUUCCUCUAGAAUUUUGGCAGCUACACGAGCGGAUGGCCAUACC